RNAcentral lists this ribosomal RNA (799 nucleotides) under uncultured Micromonospora sp. Its description in RNAcentral is "bacterial SSU rRNA". It matches the Rfam family "Bacterial small subunit ribosomal RNA", at positions 60 to 873 of the family's 1533-position model. Lineage: Bacteria; Bacillati; Actinomycetota; Actinomycetes; Micromonosporales; Micromonosporaceae. The record is from RNAcentral.
AGUCGUGCGGAAAGGCCCUUCGGGGUGCUCGAGCGGCGAACGGGUGAGUAACACGUGAGUAACCUGCCCUAGGCUUUGGGAUAACCCUCGGAAACGGGGGCUAAUACCGGAUAUUCACAUGCUGUCGCAUGGUGGUGUGUGGAAAGGUUUUCUGGCUUGGGAUGGGCUCGCGGCCUAUCAGCUUGUUGGUGGGGUGAUGGCCUACCAAGGCGACGACGGGUAGCCGGCCUGAGAGGGCGACCGGCCACACUGGGACUGAGACACGGCCCAGACUCCUACGGGAGGCAGCAGUGGGGAAUAUUGCACAAUGGGCGGAAGCCUGAUGCAGCGACGCCGCGUGAGGGAUGAAGGCCUUCGGGUUGUAAACCUCUUUCAGCAGGGACGAAGCGCAAGUGACGGUACCUGCAGAAGAAGCGCCGGCCAACUACGUGCCAGCAGCCGCGGUAAGACGUAGGGCGCGAGCGUUGUCCGGAUUUAUUGGGCGUAAAGAGCUCGUAGGCGGCUUGUUGCGUCGUCCGUGAAAACCUGUGGCUCAACUACAGGCUUGCGGUCGAUACGGGCGGGCUGGAGUUCGGUAGGGGAGACUGGAAUUCCUGGUGUAGCGGUGAAAUGCGCAGAUAUCAGGAGGAACACCGGUGGCGAAGGCGGGUCUCUGGGCCGAUACUGACGCUGAGGAGCGAAAGCGUGGGGAGCGAACAGGAUUAGAUACCCUGGUAGUCCACGCUGUAAACGUUGGGCGCUAGGUGUGGGGGGCCUCUCCGGUUCUCUGUGCCGCAGCUAACGCAUUAAGCGCCCCGCC